This 3869-nucleotide long non-coding RNA is filed under the name Setaria italica (foxtail millet). Its description in RNAcentral is "long non-coding RNA (SITA_LNC007255)". The record is from RNAcentral. Lineage: Eukaryota; Viridiplantae; Streptophyta; Magnoliopsida; Poales; Poaceae.
AAGUACAUCCACUCGGCCAACGUGAUCCACCGCGACCUGAAGCCCAGCAACCUGCUGCUGAACGCCAACUGCGACCUCAAGAUCUGCGACUUCGGGCUGGCCCGGCCGUCCUCCGAGAGCGACAUGAUGACGGAGUACGUGGUGACGCGGUGGUACCGCGCCCCCGAGCUCCUGCUCAACUCCACCGACUACUCGGCCGCCAUCGACGUCUGGUCCGUCGGCUGCAUCUUCAUGGAGCUCAUCAACCGCCAGCCCCUCUUCCCCGGCCGCGACCACAUGCACCAGAUGCGCCUCAUCACCGAGGUAACUUUCGGCGUCUCGGGUUGCACGAUGGCAUUUCAGUAUUUCACUCGUGUAUCUCUGACGCCUUCGACCUAUCAUCAUCAUCAUCGGCAGGUGAUCGGGACGCCGACGGAUGAGGAGCUCGGGUUCAUCCGGAACGAGGACGCGCGCAAGUACAUGCGGCACCUGCCGCAGUUCCCGCGGCGGCCGUUCGCGAGCCUGUUCCCGAGGGUGCAGCCCGUGGCGCUGGACCUCAUCGAGCGGAUGCUCACCUUCAACCCGCUGCAGAGGAUCACAGGUCAGCCACACCGGCUCGCCGCCGCGGUUUUGAUUUGCUUUUCUUUUAUCCUCGUGCAACUCGUGCGGCUGCUGAAUCUUUGGGUAUACUCCACGUGCGGUUUUCUAUUCUUGCGUGUUGACCGGUGGUAGAAUCACUGUUCACUACCAUAUUGACGUCGGUGGUUAGUAGUACGUGAGGGCCACUGGCUACCCUUGUGUAUAGGCAAGGAAACACUGGCACAUUUCCGGGUUGGCAUCAAGUAGACAUGGUACUGGCGGCCUCCGGUCAAAGAAAGAGGCGUGCCCUGAGCUAGGUCUGUCCGUCCAACUUUGAGUAGCUUGACUGUUCUGGUCAGGUUCAAAUGCAAUCUUCUUUGUCCAAAGUAGAAACAUUUAAUAAUCCGCAGGGUUUUGUCAGGGUUUCCGGUCAGGGUUGGGUAGGUUGGGGUGUUUGGCAACUGUCACAUCGGAUGUUUGGACACUAAUCAGGAGUAUUAAACAUAGUCUAAUUAUAAAACUAAUUGCGCAACCCCUAGGCUAAAUCGCGAGACGAAUCUAUUAAGUCUAAUUAGUCCAUGAUUUGACAAUGUGGUACUACAGUAACCAUUUGCUAAUGAUGGAUUAAUUAGGCUUAAUAGAUUCGUCUCGCGAUUUAGCCUAGGGGUUCUGCUAUUAGUUUUAUAAUUAGCUUAUAUUUAAUCCUCCUAAUUAGCAUCCGAACAUGUGAUGUGAUAGGGUUAAAGUUUAGCCCCUGGCAUCCAAACGCCCCCGGUUGAAUUGAGACCAUAACAGUCUAACGGAAAAGGGCGGCGUCACUUCUGUCAUUCUGUCGUCAAACAUUUAAGCGCUAUACCCUUGUAUUUAAGGUCCACUGCUAGUUCGCUACUUGCUAGCAUGAAUCUCACUUUUGUUCAGUUUGUUGCCUACCGUUCAACUGAUAGAACAAUAUCCCAGUGGGCUUGCAAAUUUGCAGCUAAAAAGCUGAUCCACAGCAAGUUAGUACAAGACAAAAGAGAGUAGUAGAAAUUAUUAUUUUUUUAAAAACGAAUCAGGAGAAACGCCGAUUAUAUUAAAAAGAAGAAUAAACUCAGACCAGGCAAAUAACGAAAAAAACAACAAAAAAAACAACGAAUACCGGCCAGUUGGAUUGGGACAUCAAUCCGCGUUGUACCACGCCAACGUACUACUCAAAACACAACAUCGGCCGGUUGGAUUGGGGCAUCAACCGGACCUCUCUCAACUCUGCCUGGUCGAAUUAGGAUAUCGACACGAGCCUCAACAAAAGACUCUGCUCGAUCGGAUUGGUACAUCGAUCCGGGCCUCAACUCAAACUCACGCGCAGACAACAUGGUUGGUCAAAAGGGGGCAGCGGCACCACCAUGACACUCCACAACACCGGUGCUCGUGCACCAACAGCAACACCAUCACCAGGGCACAAGGCUGAUAGAGGAUAACCCGUCGUUACCGACAAUGUCCCACGUCGGGCCAGCCACUGCUAUCCAGGGAUAGCCGCCGUGGUUCGCUGCAGGCCGUGUAGCUAUCGAGCCAUCAGAUCCGCUUGUGCUUCCAAACGAAGUUGUCCUACAUCGGACUAAACUCACCAAGCAAGGCUAGCCGCUGUAGAAUGCUGCAAGCCGUCGAACCAAUACAGGAGUAGCUGUCUCCGGACAUCAACUGCCAACCACGUCCCCCGAGAUCUGGUUGUACACUGUGGCACCAAGCAACCUCGCCUCAUCGAGGAAAGCAGGGUGCUGGCAGGGCAUCUGGCAGCCAUCAGAGGAUCACCUCCACGCAGGUCUCUUUAGUGAAGCAGAUCUAUCAGCCACCUCGUACCACGCCAGCCACAUGCCAAAUUCGUGGUCACAACUGGCGCACGGCUCCUCCCUACCGUCGCCCUCAUGCCAAGCAGAAGUCUUGCCCUCUAGACACCGUUUCAAACAUCUACUUCCAGUCGCCUUCCGCCACCGCGGGCAUCCGCACCUUAAGUCAUUGACUAGGCCUCCACCCAUUCCACCACGAGGCCCAAAUCCACCAUGGUCGGAGCUUCGCAUCGACACAGCCGCCGCCUUGCGUGAUCGCUCGCCGCCAAACAAACAGGGAAGCUAUCGGGGCGCUGCCCACCACCAUCAGAACUCCGAAGACGACACCUUCAAGAAGGACACGAUGCUAGCUGCGCUGUCGCCGCCCGCCCAAAAAACUUAAGCAAGGUUUUCACCUGGAGUUUCCGAGAACGACGCGAGGAGAGUGACAUGACAACGUCGCUAACAGGAAAUUGCGGUGCCCAAAGCGUCGCCGUUGUCAACCCGGCACACUGAGCAUGACUUUCGUCCGACACCUCCCCCGAGCAGCUGCCACAAACUUCCCCACCCGUCAUGACUACACCAACACAAACACCUCCCUGCAACCGCCCCGUCACCAACCAGCCGCCUUAGCGCGACCGCCACCGCAUCCUCCCUCGCGCGUAGGCAUUGCCGCGCAAUCACCACCCAACCCGCACGCCGUUGUGGUGCGGUCUCCUCCUUGCCCUGUGCGCCGCCGAGGCCGCACGGCCUCCCUCCUUGUAGAAAUUGCUAUUGCCACAAGACAAACCUUUUGUACAUUCCUUAAGAGAAACUGUGUAAUUAUUCUUGUUUUUCGUUCUGUAUAUUUUAAAUCUUAUGCAUCCGAGUCAUCAAAGUGGUCCUUGCUGAGGAGAGAGCUCUAUAUGCAUUCAAGUUUGUGUCCGUGCCUUUGCAUUUCCACUUAUCUUCAAUUUGCAGUGUUGCUGCUUUGCUCCAUCCUCCCUUAUUUAUGCCUGCUUUGGAGCUUUCUCCGCAUUGCUUUUGUCGAAGUGGCGAUGACCACUAUGUGCAGAAUAAACACGUUCGAUAUGAAAAGAAACAAACACUACAGAAUUACAGAUAAUCUAAGUACUGACUCCAGACUUUGGUUCAGACUCAUGUACCGUGUUCAGACUAGCAGAGUUUUAGCUCAGAGAAUUCGUUAAGGUCCAGGUCUCAUGUCUGACUAAUUUCAGUUCUCACCGAAAUUUCUUUUGCCGUGCAGUUGAAGAGGCGCUGGACCACCCGUACCUGGAGCGAUUACACGACAUCGCUGACGAGCCCAUCUGCACGGAUCCGUUCUCGUUCGACUUCGAGCAGCAGGCUCUGACUGAGGACCAAAUGAAGCAGCUAAUUUUCAACGAGGCCAUCGAAAUGAACCCGAAUUUCCGAUAUUAGAUUGGAUCCCCAGAUGUACGGUUCACAUCUAUGCAUGUUGUUUGUAAAUAGGAGUAAGAUUUAAGAGCCGGGUAGACUGAACAUUGCAUU